GCCAUAUUAUGUUGAAACAUUGGUUCCUAUACAAUCACCUAGUUAAGCAAAUUUGGGCCUGGUCAGUACCUAGAUAGGUGACCGCUUGGGAAUACCUGGUGCUGUAAG
Non-coding RNA from Acanthosepion pharaonis, 108 nucleotides. NCBI's taxonomy places the organism in Eukaryota, Metazoa, Mollusca, Cephalopoda, Sepiida, Sepiidae. The record is from the annotation of a GenBank genome assembly.